Molecule: non-coding RNA, 334 nt
Organism: Arachis ipaensis
Lineage: Eukaryota; Viridiplantae; Streptophyta; Magnoliopsida; Fabales; Fabaceae
Source: RefSeq, a predicted model, not a curated record
CAAGAUCCAUGGUGGUGCAGGCUUUGUCCCUAGUGUAUAGGAAGUCAAUCUUCUCGAUGAAAUCAUUCAAAUAUCAAGUGAAGAAGCUAUAGAAACUGCAAAGCAACUUAUGCUUAAAGAAGGCCUGUUUGUAAGUUCCCCAAUAAGAUGCAGAAGAUGAGCGAGAAACUUUUUUUUGUUGAUGAAGAUGAUGAAGACAAUGACCGGAAUGGGAAUGCCAUUGGUGAGUGGGGAUAUCUGCGCAAUUCAAACAGUUUUGGAAGUGGAGAGCAUCGCCACAAGGAUAGGACAAGUGAGGAGCAGAUGAAGGUAAUGAAGAAUGUAGUGGAUGGAC